Molecule: long non-coding RNA, 288 nt
Organism: Dama dama (fallow deer)
Lineage: Eukaryota; Metazoa; Chordata; Mammalia; Artiodactyla; Cervidae
Exons: 3
Source: RefSeq, a predicted model, not a curated record
AUCUCUUCGCUGUCUUUCUCUGGGUUGACCUGGGCUGAAACUGCACAAGAAUACAGUUUCCAGAUAUGCCUUUGCCACUCUUAAGAUGCUCUGCCCUGCUUUGGUCAGGAAGCACUAUUUUGAGGGGGAAGGAACUCUGUUUGAAAGUCACACAAUUCUUUCAUUCUUCAGUGAUGGAUCAACCAUCUUGGAAAACAAGAGUGACUCAGAAAACUGUCAACCACCAUGGACUUCCCCCCGCCCCCGCCCCGCAGAGGACUGUGGGUCUCUGGAUGGCAUGCGUGGAAU